RNAcentral lists this ribosomal RNA (854 nucleotides) under Montenegrina fuchsi klemmi. RNAcentral's name for it is "partial 16S ribosomal RNA". The stretch from base 347 to 595 matches the Rfam family "Archaeal large subunit ribosomal RNA", at positions 1786 to 2143 of the family's 2987-position model. Lineage: Eukaryota; Metazoa; Mollusca; Gastropoda; Stylommatophora; Clausiliidae. The record is from RNAcentral.
UAAAAUUAUUUAAACGAUAUAUCCCGAAAAUAUAAGAUCUAAGAGUAGUGAUAGUUAUAGAUUAAAAUUUAAGGUGCUGUAGCAUUAGCUCACAAUAAAUAAUACCUUAGUGGUGAAAGGCCUUCAAUUAUAUUGAUAGCUGGAUAACUGUUAAAUAUAUUAAGUUUAUAAUAAACCUACGAAGUGAUAAGAUUUCGUAGAAGGAAUUUGGUGUAUAUUUUUAACUACCAAUAUCUAAUAAAUAAAAGUGCUUAACUUUAAAAAAUAAUUUUACAUAAAAACAUUCUUGAGUAACAGUUGAUCUAAUUUAGUUAACUAAAAGUUUAAUAAUGUAUAAAUAAGUAUAUUAUAUUAAUUUAACUAAAUAAACUCGGCAAAUACUAUGUACGACUGUUUAACAAAAACAUAGCCAGUAGUAAAUAAAUUACUGGUGUAACCUGCCCAGUGAAUUUUUUUAACGGCCGCAGUACUAUGACUGUGCAAAGGUAGCAUAAUCAUUUGACUUUUAAUUGAAGUCUGGCAUGAAAGGAUAAACGUAUAUAAGCUGUAUCUAGUAUAAAUUUAUAUAAAUUAUUUAUAGAGUGAAAAUACUCUAACUAAGAAAAAUAGACGAGAAGACCCUUAGAAUUUUAAGAAUAGUUAUAAGCUUAAAAUAAAAUGAUUUUUGUUGGGGCAACACUUUUUCAUUUAAUAAAAAAUUAAUAUUAUAACACAACGAAAAGUUUAAUAAAGAAUAAAUUACCUUAGGGAUAACAGCAUAAUUUUAAGUAAAGAUUGUGACCUCGAUGUUGGACUAGGAACUAUUAAGGCUAAUCGUCUUAAUAUAAUAUGUUCUGUUCGAACUUUGUUUCCUA